Long non-coding RNA from Astyanax mexicanus (Mexican tetra), 1736 nucleotides. RefSeq lists it as uncharacterized. The transcript has 4 exons. The record is from RefSeq and is a predicted model, not a curated record. NCBI's taxonomy places the organism in Eukaryota, Metazoa, Chordata, Actinopteri, Characiformes, Acestrorhamphidae.
AAAAUAUGAUUUCUCAUUUAAACGUAUUUUGUUCAGUUUGACCAAAAGCAAAAACAACUACCAAGAAAAAAACUUAACAGAAAUAAUUUUGCUUAAAUAAUUUUUUUACUUUAAGUCAGAUAGUUUAAUGUCACGUGACCUCGUGACGUCGGGACAAGUACCUUCUCCUUGAGUUUUUCUGUCAGCCAUUUUACUUCGCGCCGACUGCCAAGUUCAUCUGACCCACAGGACAACUGGUUUAAUUAAGGUUUGAUCUUGAGCUCUUUUGCUGAAAAUUUACAUCCAUCUCUUCUAAAUUUGAUCAAUCAUGAAUUCCUGAGAAUUACAACUGUUCCACUUCAACCACAGUUCCUGGCUUGGACAAGCACCACAGCAAGCUGAUUGAGCUAUUCAGAAAGAAGGGAGGAGAGAGAAGACACACCGACAAACGUCCUGAAAGUUCUGGAUCAGAGCCUCGAGGUGAGCCUGAAAAGAGAAUGUCUGCUAAAGUGCCUCAUCGAUUACCUGGGGGAAGACGUGGACAGUCUUAUCAAGGAAUACUUGGUAAGUAGUUAUGCAUGUAAACAUGUUAAGCUUUAUGUAAGAUAAAACAAUUAAUAUUUUAAUUUGACUGUUUACAUAAAUUACCUCAGGUCCAAAAAAUAAAACCUUUCCUACAUUCCUGUUACAUUUCAUGUGAUUAGCAUUCACUGUACCCUGGUCAUUAUUCACCAGGAUAGUUUAUUAUGUGUAAUACAACUAAGAUAUCUGUGCUGGUGUUUGUUUAAAGUUUGUAUAUAGACUGACAUGCAAAAUUCAUAGGAUAGCAUUAUGUAAUUUCUUCAUGUAGUCUUAGAUAUUGGCUUGGAACAUUGGCCAGUGUGGUUAAGUCAACACAGUUGUUUAUCAAAUAUUGUCUAUUUUUACUCAGACAAAGACCACUGCAGAUGUACUUCAUUACUUGUGCAACAUUCUGGUCUAAUCUUGAUUUUUUAAUUUUAGAAACAAAUAGUGUAACAUGGGUCAGACAAAAGUGUAAAGGCUUAACUAGCUGUGCCUUCUCAGACUCUUGGCCUUGGUUGGCUAAAGCGUAAUCGGACAGUCAAUCAAAAUAUAUAUAUAUAUAUUUUUAUCAGGCUUCUCAGAAGAAGGAAGCUGAGACGGAGCUGAAGGAAUCUACAGUAGCAGUGUUUGUCAUCAGGGAGGAUGAAGACCCUCUCCAAUCGCCACAUGAAAUUGGGAUUGUACUUGAAGGUGUGGAUGUUCAUGAGUUGCCAUCAGUAGCACAUUCAUUUACAAUGCUGUUUGGCCUCAUCACUGCUGUGAACUAUCCUGUGAGUUAUCCAAGUAAGCUGAAAUACACCUUUUGUAAAUAUUCAUGGACAUGGAAGCAAAGAAAAUGACACGCAAAGUGUGCAGUCUUAGUGUGCAGCUUUAAAUAUUCUCUCUCACUCGCCCUGUCUUGCUCUCUCUAUGUUCAAAAGGUGUACAGUAUUUUUGCACUUCUAAAUGUUUGAAUACUGAAGAAGAAAUGUAUAAACCAUUUUUGUUAAACCACCUUGUUAAACAUUAAAAAGGCCAUAACACACUACCUUUUAUGUGAAUGUUUAACAUAAAUACAGCCAUAUUGGCCUUUCGUUAGAAAGGCAGUAUAUUUUUUGUUUUUGAUUAUUUUAUUUGUUUUCAGGCUUACUGUAAUACUGGUGCAUAUUUCACUACAAUAAGUCACUACAAUAAACAUGGUAUUUUACUCUCUA